RNAcentral lists this ribosomal RNA (254 nucleotides) under uncultured bacterium. RNAcentral describes it as "partial 16S ribosomal RNA". It matches the Rfam family "Bacterial small subunit ribosomal RNA", at positions 524 to 776 of the family's 1533-position model. The record is from RNAcentral.
UACGGGGGGAGCAAGCGUUGUUCGGAUUUACUGGGCGUAAAGGGCGCGUAGGCGGUCAGCACAAGUCAGUUGUGAAAUCUCCGAGCUUAACUCGGAAAGGUCAACUGAUACUGUGCGACUAGAGUGCGGAAGGGGCAACUGGAAUUCUUGGUGUAGCGGUGAAAUGCGUAGAUAUCAAGAGGAACACCUGCGGCGAAGGCGGGUUGCUGGGCCGACACUGACGCUGAGGCGCGAAAGCCAGGGGAGCGAACGGG